AGCUUCCUUGUUGACUACAAAUCAAGCUCACAGUUUCGGAAUAACUAGUGAAGCGGUAGCGGUUUUUGCUUGUUGUUUCGGUGGCAUCUUUUACCACAUGUAUACACCGCGUGUCAAGUUUGUCGAGUCAAAGGGCACUACCGCUUGCGUCACCUGCAAGCUCAAGCGCUGUUGGAUUUUUGUGGGGACGAUGACGACUUCCUUUGGACGGCGAGUUGCAACUGCAGAGUUCCGUUCCCUCGGAACUGCCAGAUUUCAGGGUGAAUGGUCUAUGCGCGAUGUCCUAGCGGUGACAAGUUGUUUUCUCGAUGAUGGGAUAGGACAGUUAUGGGAAAAAUGCUGCAGAUCAUUAAUUCAGUACACAGGUAGCGUAUCACAGUUGAUAAGAACAGUACAAUGUUGUUCUUGCUGGGGGCAGUCACAGUAUCUCUGCAAGCGUUGAGGUGAGCAGGAAAGGGCUGACUGUGUCCAGUCUGUACGUGUGCCGAGAUGGACUACGAAUGAGCCAACGUCGAGAUCUGUUAAAAUACCGAAUCCGGCAGAGCAGCCGCUUUGUUUUUUAUCCGUACCAAUGGCGAGCCCUACUGCUACAUUUCUGCCCACCCGAGAGCUCGCCUCGCGAGCUUAAAAGCUGUUCUAUCGUCGUGUAUGGUGUGCAACUCUUACACCGACGAUGCACGAAGGUGCAACUAUCGCGAGCUUGCGUGGUUUUGUGAAAAACACCUCAGAUGGGACUGAAC
RNAcentral lists this long non-coding RNA (740 nucleotides) under Toxoplasma gondii VEG. The record is from RNAcentral. Lineage: Eukaryota; Apicomplexa; Conoidasida; Eucoccidiorida; Sarcocystidae.